This 257-nucleotide ribosomal RNA is filed under the name uncultured bacterium. RNAcentral's name for it is "partial 16S ribosomal RNA". It matches the Rfam family "Bacterial small subunit ribosomal RNA", at positions 521 to 776 of the family's 1533-position model. The record is from RNAcentral.
UAACACGUAGGGUGCGAGCGUUGUCCGGAAUUAUUGGGCGUAAAGAGCUCGUAGGCGGUGUGUCGCGUCGGCCGUGAAAACCUGUGGCUUAACUGUGGGCUUGCGGUCGAUACGGGCAUCACUGGAGUUCGGCAGGGGAGACUGGAAUUCCUGGUGUAGCGGUGAAAUGCGCAGAUAUCAGGAGGAACACCGGUGGCGAAGGCGGGUCUCUGGGCCGAUACUGACGCUGAGGAGCGAAAGCGUGGGGAGCGAACAGG